RNAcentral lists this ribosomal RNA (253 nucleotides) under uncultured bacterium. RNAcentral's name for it is "partial 16S ribosomal RNA". It matches the Rfam family "Bacterial small subunit ribosomal RNA", at positions 524 to 776 of the family's 1533-position model. The record is from RNAcentral.
UACAUGGGGUGCAAACGUUGCUCGGAAUCAUUGGGCGUAAAGCGCGCGUAGGCGGUUACUUAAGUCGGAUGUGAAAGCCCUUGGCUUAACUGAGGAAGUGCACCCGAAACUGAGUAGCUAGAGUACGAAAGAGGGUCGCGGAAUUCCCGGUGUAGAGGUGAAAUUCGUAGAUAUCGGGAGGAACACCGGUGGCGAAGGCGGCGACCUGGGUCGACACUGACGCUGAGGCGCGAAAGCGUGGGGAGCAAACAGG